GCCAAAAAGUGAUCGCCCUGCUAGAUAUGGGCGUACCGCAAGGUCGAGGACUCUUACGAUUCCGAAGUCAUUGGCAGCAGAACCAAGAAAAGCCGAUCCCGGACAAGAAUUGUGCCCGUACUAAGACUGACACAGGUAGGCGAGAAGAAUAUUCUCAGGCGCUCGAGAAAACGCUGGUUAAGGAACUCGGCAACAUAACCCCGUAACUUCGGGAUAAGGGGUGCCUCUGGGGGUGUUAAAGCUUCUGGGGGCCGCAGAGAAAUGGGUCUAGCGACUGUUUACUAAAAACACAGGUCUGUGCCAAGGCGCAAGCCGACGUAUACAGACUGACGCCUGCCCGGUGCCGGUAAGUUAAGGGAGACGGUUAUCCAAUUUAUUGGAGAAGCUGGCAACCGAAGCUCCGGUAAACGGCGGCCGUAACUAUGACGGUCCUAAGGUAGCGAAGUUCCUUGUCGGGUAAGUUCCGACCUGCAUGAAUGGCGUAACGACUGGACCACUGUCUCAACCAGCGACUCGGUGAAACUGUAGUUGUCGUGAAGAUGCGACAUACCCGCACUUAGACGGAAAGACCCCGUGAACCUUUACUGUAGGAUAAUAUUGGGUUUAGACCCAACAUGCGUAGUGUAGCUGGGAGACUUUGAAGGGUGAUCCCCGGAUCAUCUGGAGUCGACGAUGAAACACCAGCCUUGUUGUGUUUGAAUUCUAACGCCUGCCCAUGAAUCUGGGGGGCGGACCGUGUUAUCUGGGCAGUUUGAUUGGGGCGAUCUCCUCCCAAAGAGUAACGGAGGAGUCCAAAGGUACCCUCAGCCCGGUCGGCAAUCGGGCAACGAGCGUAAAGGUAGAAGGGUGCUUGACUGCGAGACCGAUGGGUCGAGCAGGCACGAAAGUGGGGCUUAGUGAUCCGGCGGUUCCGCAUGGAAGGGCCGUCGCUCAACAGAUAAAAGGUACUCCGGGGAUAACAGGCUUAUCUCCUCUGAGCGUUCAUAGCGGCGAGGAGGUUUGGCACCUCGAUGUCGGCUCAUCGCAUCCUGGGGGUGGAGAAGCUCCCAAGGGUUUGGCUGUUCGCCAAUGAAAGCGGUACGUGAGCUGGGUUUAGACCGUCGUGAGACAGGUCGGUCCCUAUCUGGUGCGGCGUAGGAGACUUGCGCGGUUUUUUCUCUAGUACGAGAGGAUUGAGAAGGACGAACCUCUGGUGUGCCAGUUGUCCCGCUUGGGGCACCGCUGGGUAGCCAACGUUCGGCCAGGAUAAACGCUGAAGGCAUAUAAGCGUGAAACCCUCCGCAAGAUCAGGUCUCCCGCUAUUUAUAGCGAAGGCUCCUCGAAGACCACGAGGUCGAUAGGCCGGAUGUGUACGAGUGGUUAACACUCUGAGCGGACCGGUACUAACAGCCAAGCGCUUGACCGC
This 1405-nucleotide ribosomal RNA is filed under the name metagenome. RNAcentral describes it as "bacterial LSU rRNA". It matches the Rfam family "Bacterial large subunit ribosomal RNA", at positions 1480 to 2925 of the family's 2925-position model. The record is from RNAcentral.